UACGGAGGAUCCGAGCGUUAUCCGGAUUUAUUGGGUUUAAAGGGAGCGUAGGUGGAUUGUUAAGUCAGUUGUGAAAGUUUGCGGCUCAACCGUAAAAUUGCAGUUGAAACUGGCAGUCUUGAGUACAGUAGAGGUGGGCGGAAUUCGUGGUGUAGCGGUGAAAUGCUUAGAUAUUACUCAGAACACCGAUUGCGCAGGCAGCUUGCUAAUCCGCAUCUGACGCUGAUGCACGAAAGCGUGGGUAGCGAACAGG
RNAcentral lists this ribosomal RNA (253 nucleotides) under uncultured Bacteroides sp. Its description in RNAcentral is "partial 16S ribosomal RNA". It matches the Rfam family "Bacterial small subunit ribosomal RNA", at positions 524 to 776 of the family's 1533-position model. The record is from RNAcentral. Lineage: Bacteria; Pseudomonadati; Bacteroidota; Bacteroidia; Bacteroidales; Bacteroidaceae.